GACGAACGCUGGCGGCGUGCCUAAUACAUGCAAGUCGAACGAGAGCGACCGGUGCUUGCACUGGUCAAUCUAGUGGCGCACGGGUGAGUAACACGUGGGUAACCUGCCCAUCAGAGGGGGAUAACAUCCGGAAACGGAUGCUAAAACCGCAUAGGUCUUCGAGCCGCAUGGCUUGAAGAGGAAAAGAGGCGCAAGCUUCUGCUGAUGGAUGGACCCGCGGUGCAUUAGCUAGUUGGUGAGGUAACGGCUCACCAAGGCCGUGAUGCAUAGCCGACCUGAGAGGGUGAUCGGCCACAUUGGGACUGAGACACGGCCCAAACUCCUACGGGAGGCAGCAGUAGGGAAUCUUCCGCAAUGGACGCAAGUCUGACGGAGCAACGCCGCGUGAGUGAAGAAGGUUUUCGGAUCGUAAAACUCUGUUGUUAGAGAAGAACAAGUGCUAGAGUAACUGUUAGCGCCUUGACGGUAGCUAACCAGAAAGCCACGGCUAACUACGUG
Molecule: ribosomal RNA, 498 nt
Filed under: uncultured bacterium
Lineage: Bacteria
Description: partial 16S ribosomal RNA
Rfam family: Bacterial small subunit ribosomal RNA
Source: RNAcentral